GAUGAACGCUGGCGGCGUGCCUAAUACAUGCCAGUCGAGCGAACGGACGAGAAGCUUGCUUCUCAGAUGUUAGCGGCGGACGGGGGAGUAACACGUGGAUAACCUACCUAUAAGACUGGGAUAACUUCGGGAAACCGGAGCUAAUACCGGAUAAUAUUUUGAACCGCAUGGUUCAAAAGUGAAAGACGGUCUUGCUGUCACUUAUAGAUGGAUCCGAGCUGCAUUAGCUAGUUGGUAAGGUAACGGCUUACCAAGGCAACGAUGCAUAGCCGACCUGAGAGGGUGAUCGGCCACACUGGAACUGAGACACGCUCAAGACUCCUACGGGAGGCAGCAGUAGGGAAUCUUCCGCAAUGGGCGAAAGCCUGACGGAGCAACGCCGCGUGAGUGAUGAAGGUCUUCGGAUCGUAAAACUCUGUUAUUAGGGAAGAACAUAUGUGUAAGUAACUGUGCACAUCUUGACGGUACCUAAUCAGAAAGCCACGGCUAACUACGUG
RNAcentral lists this ribosomal RNA (497 nucleotides) under uncultured bacterium. RNAcentral's name for it is "partial 16S ribosomal RNA". It matches the Rfam family "Bacterial small subunit ribosomal RNA", at positions 28 to 507 of the family's 1533-position model. The record is from RNAcentral.